Molecule: ribosomal RNA, 710 nt
Filed under: Streptomyces sp. P64
Lineage: Bacteria; Bacillati; Actinomycetota; Actinomycetes; Kitasatosporales; Streptomycetaceae
Description: bacterial SSU rRNA
Rfam family: Bacterial small subunit ribosomal RNA
Source: RNAcentral
AUCUGCCCUUCACUCUGGGACAAGCCCUGGAAACGGGGUCUAAUACCGGAUAACACUCCUGCCUGCAUGGGCGGGGGUUAAAAGCUCCGGCGGUGAAGGAUGAGCCCGCGGCCUAUCAGCUUGUUGGUGAGGUAACGGCUCACCAAGGCGACGACGGGUAGCCGGCCUGAGAGGGCGACCGGCCACACUGGGACUGAGACACGGCCCAGACUCCUACGGGAGGCAGCAGUGGGGAAUAUUGCACAAUGGGCGAAAGCCUGAUGCAGCGACGCCGCGUGAGGGAUGACKGCCUUCGGGUUGUAAACCUCUUUCAGCAGGGAAGAAGCGAAAGUGACGGUACCUGCAGAAGAAGCGCCGGCUAACUACGUGCCAGCAGCCGCGGUAAUACGUAGGGCGCAAGCGUUGUCCGGAAUUAUUGGGCGUAAAGAGCUCGUAGGCGGCUUGUCACGUCGGUUGUGAAAGCCCGGGGCUUAWCCCCGGGUCUGCAKUCGAUACGGGCAGGCUAGAGUUCGGUAGGGGAGAUCGGAAUUCCUGGUGUAGCGGUGAAAUGCGCAGAUAUCAGGAGGAACACCGGUGGCGAAGGCGGAUCUCUGGGCCGAUACUGACGCUGAGGAGCGAAGCGUGGGAGYGAACAGGAUUAGAUACCCUGGUAGUCCACGCCGUAACGGUGGGCACUAGGUGUGGGCAACAUUCCWCGUUGUCGGUGGCCG